GAUGAACGCUGGCGGCGUGCUUAACACAUGCAAGUCGAACGGGAAACCUUUUAUUGAAGCUUCGGCAGAUUUAGCUGGUUUCUAGUGGCGGACGGGUGAGUAACGCGUGGGUAACCUGCCCUAUACAGGGGGAUAACAACCAGAAAUGGUUGCUAAUACCGCAUAAGCGCACAGGGCCGCAUGGUCCGGUGUGAAAAACUCCGGUGGUAUAGGAUGGACCCGCGUUGGAUUAGCCAGUUGGCAGGGUAACGGCCUACCAAAGCGACGAUCCAUAGCCGGCCUGAGAGGGUGAACGGCCACAUUGGGACUGAGACACGGCCCAGACUCCUACGGGAGGCAGCAGUGGGGAAUAUUGCACAAUGGGGGAAACCCUGAUGCAGCGACGCCGCGUGAAGCAAGAAGUAUCUCGGUAUGUAAACUUCUAUCAGCAGGGAAGAUAGUGACGGUACCUGACUAAGAAGCCCCGGCUAACUACGUG
RNAcentral lists this ribosomal RNA (478 nucleotides) under uncultured bacterium. RNAcentral's name for it is "partial 16S ribosomal RNA". It matches the Rfam family "Bacterial small subunit ribosomal RNA", at positions 28 to 507 of the family's 1533-position model. The record is from RNAcentral.